This 684-nucleotide ribosomal RNA is filed under the name uncultured bacterium. RNAcentral's name for it is "bacterial SSU rRNA". It matches the Rfam family "Bacterial small subunit ribosomal RNA", at positions 47 to 747 of the family's 1533-position model. The record is from RNAcentral.
AACGAAGCGCCUGCGGCGGACCCCUCCGGGGGACAUCCGCAGGGGACUGAGUGGCGGACGGGUGAGCAACGCGUGGGCAACCUGCCCCGUACCGGGGGACAACAGCCGGAAACGGCUGCUAAUACCGCAUAUUCCCGCGGGGCCGCAUGGCCCUGCGGGGAAAGCUCCGGCAGUACGGGAUGGGCCCGCGUCUGAUUAGCUUGUUGGCGGGGUAACGGCCCACCAAGGCUGCGAUCAGUAGCCGGCCUGAGAGGGCGGCCGGCCACAUUGGGACUGAGACACGGCCCAGACUCCUGCGGGAGGCAGCAGUGGGGGAUAUUGCACAAUGGGGGGAACCCUGAUGCAGCGACGCCGAAAAAACGAAGAAAUAUUUCGGUAUGUAAAGUUCUAUCAGCAGGGAAGAAAAUGACAGAACCUGACCAAGAAGCCCCGGCUAACUACGUGCCAGCAGCCGCGGUAAUACGUAGGGGGCGAGCGUUAUCCGGAUUCACUGGGCGUAAAGGGAGCGCAGGCGGCACGGCAAGUCCGGUGUGAAAGCCCGGGGCCCAACCCCGGGACUGCACUGGAAACUGCCGGGCUGGAGUGUCGGAGGGGCAGGCGGAAUUCCUAGUGUAGCGGUGAAAUGCGUAGAUAUUAGAAAGAACACCGGUGGCGAAGGCGGCCUGCUGGACGACGACUGACGCU